This 469-nucleotide ribosomal RNA is filed under the name uncultured bacterium. RNAcentral's name for it is "SSU rRNA". It matches the Rfam family "Bacterial small subunit ribosomal RNA", at positions 26 to 518 of the family's 1533-position model. The record is from RNAcentral.
AGCCUGAACGCUGGCGGCGUGGCUAAGACAUGCAAGUCGUACGGGUGUAGCAAUACACCAGUGGCGGACGGGUGAGUAAUGUAUCGCUAACGUGCCCUUCAGUCCGGGAUAGCCGAGGGAAACUUCGGGUAAUACCGGUUGACAUCACGAGCAGGCAUCUGCUUGUGCUCAAAGGCGUAAGCCGCUGAAGGAGCGGGGCGAGUAUCGGUAUCAGCUAGUUGGCGGGGUAACGGCCCACCAAGGCGACGACGCGUAGCCGGACUGAGAGGUUGGCCGGCCACAUUGGGACUGAGACACUGCCCAGACUCCUACGGGGGGCUGCAGUAACGAAUCUUCCGCAAUGCACGCAAGUGUGACGGAGCGACGCCGCGUGUGGGACGAAGCCCCUCGGGGUGUAAACCACUGUCAGGGGAUAGAAAGUUCUGAUCAUCCCAGAGGAAGGCACGGCUAACUCUGUGCCAGCAGCCGC